AGCUUUGCGCAGUGGCAGUAUCAUAGCCAAUGAGGCUUAUCCGAGGCGCGAUUAUUGCUAAAAGAAUUAGGACAUCCUAAAUUUUGCAGGCAAAUGGGUGGAACUAGAAAAUGUCAUUCUUAGUGAAGU
Rattus norvegicus (Norway rat) is the source of this 129-nucleotide small nuclear RNA. Ensembl annotates it as U4 spliceosomal RNA. The record is from Ensembl. Lineage: Eukaryota; Metazoa; Chordata; Mammalia; Rodentia; Muridae.